Molecule: non-coding RNA, 284 nt
Organism: Pelobates cultripes (western spadefoot toad)
Lineage: Eukaryota; Metazoa; Chordata; Amphibia; Anura; Pelobatidae
Source: the annotation of a GenBank genome assembly
CGUAUCUCCAGCAUAAACGAGGUACCAUCUCCGACCAUACCACUUUCACGCCAGGGACAAGCCCCCUUAGUCUGUCAACGUCCUGCUUCAUACACUUAACCAGUUCACGUUGGGGGACCAGACCCAAGUCGUUUCCCCCCCCCGUGAAUUACCACCACGUUCGGCAAGGGCUCCUCCGCUACCUUCCGAAACAAUACCGUAAUAAUGUGCUGCCAGUCAAACCCCCGAUAACCGAACCAGAAUAACGCCACCCGAUCCUCAGGAAAGCCCAGCUGUGUUCCAUG